CCCUUAGAUGUUCUGGGCUGCACACGUGCUACACUGGCAGGUUUAGCGAGCUUCAUGCCCUGAUCUGAAAGGAAUGGGAAAUCUUUUCAAAACCUGCCGUGCUUGGGAUAGAUGUUUGCAAUUAUUCAUCUUCAACGAGGAUUGCCUUGUAAGCGCACGUCAUCAGCGUGCAUUGAAUACGACCCUGUAUUCUGUACACACCGCCCGUCGCUCCUACCGAUUGAAGUUUUCGGUGAGUUGACAGGAGGAUUUUUUUGAAACUGGUUCGCCAGUGGAUUUUAGAUCCAAAUGCCAACGAAUCGAUGGCUUUAGAGGAAGGAGAAGUCGUAACA
RNAcentral lists this ribosomal RNA (332 nucleotides) under uncultured eukaryote. Its description in RNAcentral is "partial 18S ribosomal RNA". It matches the Rfam family "Eukaryotic small subunit ribosomal RNA", at positions 1470 to 1796 of the family's 1831-position model. The record is from RNAcentral.